AACCCCAAUACCCAAAAUACCAACCCAACUAGUCUAACCCAAACCCGAGGUCCAAAUUCGGAGCCCAAUUCCCUAAAAGUCAAGCUAGGGCUUCAGAAAAGAAACCCUAGCGCCGCAGCCCUCUGCCCCCUAGCUCUGCUAGCCGCCGCUUACGUCCCGUCACCAGGCCCUCUUGCCACCGACUCACCUGCUCCAACUGCUCCGCCAGUACCUGCAACAAACACCAACAAGCAACAGCAAAUACGGAUAGCAAAAGGAGAUUUUUUAUUUUGUAUUUUGGCUAUAUAAG
RNAcentral lists this long non-coding RNA (289 nucleotides) under Gossypium barbadense (sea-island cotton). RNAcentral's name for it is "long non-coding RNA (GBAR_LNC021066)". The record is from RNAcentral. Lineage: Eukaryota; Viridiplantae; Streptophyta; Magnoliopsida; Malvales; Malvaceae.